CGUCAAGUCAUCAUGGCCCUUACGCCCAGGGCUACACACGUGCUACAAUGGCGCUUACAAAGUGUUGCGAGCAGGUGACUGUGAGCCAAUCACAAAAAGAGCGUCUCAGUUCGGAUUGCAGGCUGCAACUCGCCUGCAUGAAGCCGGAAUCGCUAGUAAUCGCGGGUCAGCAUACCGCGGUGAAUGUGUUCCUGAGCCUU
This 200-nucleotide ribosomal RNA is filed under the name uncultured organism. RNAcentral's name for it is "partial small subunit ribosomal RNA". It matches the Rfam family "Bacterial small subunit ribosomal RNA", at positions 1183 to 1382 of the family's 1533-position model. The record is from RNAcentral.